UUUGUACCCCCUCCGUCCCAAAAUUCUUGUCUUAAAUUUGUCUAAAUACGGAUGUAUCUAGUUACAUUUUAGUGUUAGAUACAUCCAUAUCUAAACAAAUGUAAGACAAGAAUUUUGGGACGGAGGGAAUAGUGC
Triticum aestivum (bread wheat) is the source of this 135-nucleotide non-coding RNA. The record is from Rfam. NCBI's taxonomy places the organism in Eukaryota, Viridiplantae, Streptophyta, Magnoliopsida, Poales, Poaceae.